This 487-nucleotide ribosomal RNA is filed under the name uncultured bacterium. RNAcentral's name for it is "SSU rRNA". It matches the Rfam family "Bacterial small subunit ribosomal RNA", at positions 26 to 521 of the family's 1533-position model. The record is from RNAcentral.
AGGACGAACGCUGGCGGCGUGCCUAACACAUGCAAGUCGAACGAGGUCCAACCGGUGGCAACACUGGUGAAGACCGAGUGGCGAACGGGUGAGUAACACGUGAGCAACCUGCCUCGAAGACUGGGAUAACCCCGGGAAACCGGAGCUAAUACCGGAUACCCCCACCGGGUCGCAUGGCCUGGUGAGGAAAUGGAUUCCGCUUUGAGAGGGGCUCGCGGCCUAUCAGCUUGAUGGUGGGGUAAUGGCCUACCAUGGCACCGACGGGUAGCUGGUCUGAGAGGACGAUCAGCCACACUGGGACUGAGACACGGCCCAGACUCCUACGGGAGGCAGCAGUGGGGAAUCUUGCGCAAUGGGCGAAAGCCUGACGCAGCAACGCCGCGUGUGGGACGAAGGCCUUCGUGGGUUGUAAACCACUUUCAGCAGGGACGAUUGUGACGGUACCUGCAGAAGACGCCCCGGCCAACUACGCGCCAGCAGCCGCGGU